Molecule: long non-coding RNA, 297 nt
Filed under: Olea europaea (common olive)
Lineage: Eukaryota; Viridiplantae; Streptophyta; Magnoliopsida; Lamiales; Oleaceae
Description: long non-coding RNA (OEUR_LNC003285)
Source: RNAcentral
AAAUGUACAAAAAAUUAAAAUAGCCUGAAGAAUCCGCAUCUCUUUGUCUGUUGAUAUGACUUGCACAAGUCCUUUAGGAACAGUUACAUUCCAGAAAAAACUUUGAUUAUUAAUUGAUACUAUAAGAAACAAAGCAUAAAUUAAUUGUUUUGUCUCCCACAGUUUACAUAUGUAGCAGUGCAGUUUCUGAUGAUGAAUAUUGAUGGAUUGUCCCUUGAAACUGUUUGCAUUGUAUGCUGAGUUUUGUACUUCAAAACUGUGCAAUAUGGUAGUGAUGGAGAGCAAGAUACAGAUACA